RNAcentral lists this ribosomal RNA (495 nucleotides) under uncultured bacterium. Its description in RNAcentral is "bacterial SSU rRNA". It matches the Rfam family "Bacterial small subunit ribosomal RNA", at positions 28 to 515 of the family's 1533-position model. The record is from RNAcentral.
GACGAACGCUGGCGGCGUGGAUUAGGCAUGCAAGUCGAACGGUAGGAUACCUUCGGGUAUCUGAGAGUGGCGAACGGGUGAGUAACACGUAGGUGAUCUACCCUCAAGAUUGGGACAACCUAGGGAAACUUGGGCUAAUACCGGAUGAAAGCAGCAGUGAUGUUGUUUGAAAGGUGGCGUAAGCUGCCGUUUGGGGAUGAGCCUGCGCUCUAUUAGUUAGUUGGCGGGGUAAAGGCCCACCAAGGCGAUGAUAGAUAGGCGGCCUUAACGGGUGGUCGCCCACACUGGGAUUGAGAUACGGCCCAGACUCCUACGGGAGGCAGCAGUCGAGAAUAGUCUACAAUGGCCGAAAGGCUGAUAGUGCGACGCCGCGUGAACGAAGAAGCCCUUCGGGUGUAAAGUUCUUUUAUAUGUGAGCAGUGCUUUCUAUGUGAACAGCAUGGGGAGAGAGAUAUUAGCAUAUGAAUAAGCAACGGCUAACUCCGUGCCAGCACG